Camellia sinensis is the source of this 3295-nucleotide RNA transcript. RefSeq lists it as uncharacterized. The record is from RefSeq and is a predicted model, not a curated record. Lineage: Eukaryota; Viridiplantae; Streptophyta; Magnoliopsida; Ericales; Theaceae.
GGGAACACUAGCUGGAGCAAGAUACUGGGAUGAUGAUGUCUCAGUUACUGUCAUUCUGUGGACUAGAACCAAUGCAUGCUAUAUAGAAUGCAUAGAUGCUAUACCUAAGUUACAGGGCCACAAUUCCACAUCUGGAAGGACGAGUAGGGAGCAUUUUCAAAUGGUCUUCCUCUAACUCAGUUUGAUAGGGACAUAGAUGCUGAGAGUAUCAAUCCUGGUGACCAGGCACUGACAACUUCACCUACUAAACGAUUUACCACUUCGUCAAAAUUUCAGUUCCUUCGCUGUCCUUCUCUCUUUCUACCACUAAGUUUUGUCUGGGUAUGUAUAUUUAUAUUUUGUUUGCUCACUUUCUUUUUUACUCUCUUGAAUUUUCAUUUAUUUCUCGCUUAAAUCCAUUUUAUUGCUUAGAAAAUUGAGUUAAAGAAGAAGAAAAUUAAAAAGAAAGCAUGGGUUUUUGUUACUUUUUGUGCUUUUGCAAACACCUAUUCGAACUGGUAUGAAAUUAUGAACUUUUAUUUUUAUUUUUUGUAAUUGGGAUUUUAAAAAAGAUUGGUUGGAGAUCGAGUGGAUUCAUUCAUUUCUAGGGUUGGAUUUCAUUGUAUGGUAUUCAAAUUUGGAUCUGUAGCUGUAGAUUUGAGCAAAAAAGUUUUUGGCUUCUUUGUUCGCAUUGAUUCGGGUUUGGAUCUGAGUCUUUUCUCAAUUCCAUAGCUAAUUCACUAGGAACAGAGAUUUUCAUUGCUAAUGUCUUAAAAAGCUCCUUUUUUUUUUUCUUCAUCUUUGUGCUAUAAUUGAAUUUUUGAACUAUGGAUAAUUGUUGAUACAGUCGCGGAAAAUAUGUCUAAAAGGAAAGAAAAGUUAUUUGUUACUUAUUUUAGAAUUAGUUCGUUGAAUGAAUUUGGUUCCUUGUUAGAUUUUGUUUAAUUUUUAGAUUCCAAGAAACGCAUUUGCUACAGUUUGGUGCUGUUCUUUUUCUUUUUUAUUAUUUGUCUUUAAUCUAGGAUUGUAGGUUUACAUAACUAUAAGUUGAAAAUUGUGCUUAGCUGCAUUUGUUGUGAUAUACAGCUCUAUUUAUUCAAUAGGUGUUCCUUUUGUUAGCUAUUAAUUGGUGCUGUUUAUUUGCAUUUUAUUUUUGUUUGAUCAUUUAGCAUGGAGAAAGGUAAAUAUCAUAGAUGUAAUUAGUGUUUGCUAUGAUGCUGAAUGUGGAACAUAUAUUGGACUGCAUUUUUGGGAAAUUUGAUAAAUUAGUUGGUUGAAAGGUGAUGUCUUGUGAGAUAUGGUUAUACUGGGUUGACAAAACUGCAAAUUACCACUCAAUUUGUAUAGGCUCUCGGCUCAAUUUGGGGAUGAUUCUAUGUCAUGAUUUCAGCCAUUGAACCAGCUAGUUUUGUUUGUUUACUAUGGGUGGUGUUUUGUUUUAAGAUACAUUUUCUGGAAUCCUAUUUCCCUUAGACUUCGAUAUAAUUUUAUUCUGAUAUAGUUAAUUUUAUUCUAAUAUAACUCUGUUUGGUUCUCAAUUUAUAGCCAUUAGAAGCAACCAUAUAUAUAUAUAAAGUUAGGUUUUGCUUUAAAAAGUUUGAUAUCAGUCAUGUUAGCUUUAUUUUAGCUUUAUUUUCAUCUCCAUUUUUAUCUUUGAAUUGGGUUUCAUUGCAAAAUCAAGCAAUGCCUUUAUUCUCUUGUUCUGUAUUGUGGGGACUAUUGUGUUUUGGUUCUUAGUUCGUUAGACCCAUUUUUUUCUUUAUGCAUACAACUUGUAUUCUGAGGUUAGAAAAGGUAUAAUCUUUGAUGGAAAAUUGAGAAAAUUGAUUAAUGGACUUGAUAUGUACACUGGCAGCACUCUCUUCAUUUUAGAGACAAAAAGUUAAAUCUCUUCAAUGGCAAUAUUGACUAAUAAAUUACUUUUAUUUCAAGCUCUAUGUUCUUAGUGUUUAUACAGCUUCGUGGGCACAUUUACCAUUGAACUCGCUUUUUGUGUUUUUGACACUUGCAUAUAGUUCUCUUAGAGACGGGAUCUAGCUUAACAUAUAACCUACUCUUGAUUCCAGAUUUUCCAUUUGACUUUACUUUCUUUGCAAGUGACAACCUUCUCUUGCUUCCCUCAUGAACUUUAGAUAUAUAUAUAUAUAUUUUAUUCUUAGCAUUUGUUCAAUUUCUAUUUUACUAUAUUUGUUUUCAAUAAUAGUUCAGUAAAGCUGCAUACCUUUUUGAAAUUCAUUAUGAAAUGUUUGGAACUGUUCUGCUGAGGACAAGGCUGCAUAUUUUCAUGAACACCUCUUGAUAUUGUUGCGUAUCUAUGCAAGUGCACUGGAGAGAAGAAGAUUAUGAUGUGUUGUACAAUUGGACACUGGUGCUCCAGGUCUAACAUUGUGAUCUUUAAUAGUUUUGGGACCAUUUGUUGUACUUUAGGAGUAAUUGGCUGUGACGUAUAAUAUUUCUUGCAACAAAUGAUGCUUUUGGGAAAUUUAGUUUAUUCUUUCGUUGCGUGGAUAAUGCAUCCUUGCAUAUGUUCACAUGGAACUUAGACACACAUUUGUUUGCUUACUUUUGGGACUUAUUUGUUUUAUUUGCUGACGCUGAACUGGACCAGAGAACUCGAGGUAAGAGGGCUACACUAGCUAAAGUUACUUCUGGUUGUUCUCGUCUAUGUCUAAUGCUUUCAUUUCUUCUUUUCAAGGGAUCAAAGUGACUUGCAGGUUAUCAUAUUUGAUGAAAUUGAUUCAAUUUGUAAGUCAAGAGGUUCAACUAGAGAUUGUACUGGAGUUCAUGAUAGCAUUGUCAACCAAUUCCUAACAAAGGUAUGGAUGACACAAGUACCACUAGUUCUCGUAAGAAGGGGAAACCUCGAAGGUUUUGGAAUCACCGUGAGGAACUCUUUCUCAUUAUAACCAUGAAGGAUGUAACCGCAAGUAAUCACAGGUGGAAGCUUGAUAAUAAUCAGUUUAGGGCAGCUUCUACAAUGAAUGUGAGAAGAAGAUCUUAAGUGCAUUUUUUGGAACUGAUCUUCAAGCCACUCCUCACAUCAACUAGAAAAUUAAGUUAUGGAGGAAACAAUAUAACACUCUUCAAGAUAUGUUAAAGAUAAGUGGUUUUGAUUGGGAUAAUGAACAAAAGAUGGUGCUUGUUAAUAGUGACGACGUAUAAUAGAACUAUGUCAGGAGGGUAUCAGAUGCAAAAGGGAUGCGAAACAGGCAAUUCCUGUUCUAUGAAGAUUGGCUUAUUCUAUUUGGAAAGGAUAGAGCGACUGGUGAACUGGCUGAGGAUCCUGCUGAUGCAGCUACAGCCAUGGAAAAUGAGG